This 253-nucleotide ribosomal RNA is filed under the name uncultured bacterium. RNAcentral describes it as "partial 16S ribosomal RNA". It matches the Rfam family "Bacterial small subunit ribosomal RNA", at positions 524 to 776 of the family's 1533-position model. The record is from RNAcentral.
UACGUAGGGUGCGAGCGUUAAUCGGAAUUACUGGGCGUAAAGCGUGCGCAGGCGGUUCGUUAAGUUCGAUGUGAAAGCCCCGGGCUCAACCUGGGAAUUGCAUUGGAAACUGGCGGGCUUGAGUGUGGCAGAGGGGGGUGGAAUUCCACGUGUAGCAGUGAAAUGCGUAGAGAUGUGGAGGUACACCGAUGGCGAAGGCAGCCCCCUGGGCUAACACUGACGCUCAGGCACGAAAGCGUGGGGAGCGAACAGG